GAUGAACGCUGGCGGCGUGCCUAAUACAUGCAAGUCGAGCGAACAGAUGAGGAGCUUGCUCCUCUGACGUUAGCGGCGGACGGGUGAGUAACACGUGGAUAACCUACCUAUAAGACUGGGAUAACUUCGGGAAACCGGAGCUAAUACCGGAUAAUAUAUUGAACCGCAUGGUUCAAUAGUGAAAGACGGUUUUGCUGUCACUUAUAGAUGGAUCCGCGCCGCAUUAGCUAGUUGGUAAGGUAACGGCUUACCAAGGCAACGAUGCGUAGCCGACCUGAGAGGGUGAUCGGCCACACUGGAACUGAGACACGGUCCAGACUCCUACGGGAGGCAGCAGUAGGGAAUCUUCCGCAAAGGGCGAAAGCCUGACGGAGCAACGCCGCGUGAGUGAAGAAGGUCUUCGGAUCGUAAAACUCUGUUAUUAGGGAAGAACAAAUGUGUAAGUAACUAUGCACGUCUUGACGGUACCUAAUCAGAAAGCCACGGCUAACUACGUG
Molecule: ribosomal RNA, 497 nt
Filed under: uncultured bacterium
Lineage: Bacteria
Description: partial 16S ribosomal RNA
Rfam family: Bacterial small subunit ribosomal RNA
Source: RNAcentral